AGCAUGUCUAUUUUCAGUCGUUCCUUUAAUUUUCUCUGUUACUUACUACAACAAAAACGGUCUAUAGCGACACUUUUAAAUGUAGGUACAUGUCAAAAAAGUGCUGCUAGCUAAAAUUACCGAUACUUUUAAAAAGUGUUGCUAUAUGUGGGGUCGCUAGGUAUAUAGUGACAGUUAAAGAGUGUCGCUAUAACCUAAAAGAGUGCUGCUAAUUUACCAACAACUUAUUUAAGAAUUUAGCAACCGCCGAAACUCUAUCUCGUUGGUUGCGGUGGCGGAGGAGGACGACAGGAAUGACUCUUCGUCUAGAAUUUCAGUGGAUUGAGUGAAGAGAGAAAAAAAUAUGGUAAUUGAUUUUUCUUUUUCUUUUUUUUUUUCUAUUUGUAAUCGGGCCAAAUGGACUGGGUGUGGUGGGUUGAGUAGAGUAAUCUUUUAUUUUUGGUUGGAUUGGGCUUUAUAUUUAGGCAUUAGUAGAUGUUUCUUUAAGUUUUAACAUAAAUGAGAUACUUACUCAAAAGUGUCCCAAACAUGUGUCCCUAUAACCUUAUUUUGUUGUAGAUGCAGCUCACGUC
This 572-nucleotide long non-coding RNA is filed under the name Ananas comosus (pineapple). RNAcentral describes it as "long non-coding RNA (ACOM_LNC020901)". The record is from RNAcentral. Lineage: Eukaryota; Viridiplantae; Streptophyta; Magnoliopsida; Poales; Bromeliaceae.